AGAGAAAAGGAGGGGAAUUUAAUCGAAUUGGAAUAUAUUUCUACGAUUUCACUAUUGAUUCCUUCAUAACUUAUCUAUCCAGCAUUGCUUUCAGGAUCUCUUUGUUCUUUUUAUAAAUCCUUUUUCCUCUCUUCAAUUUCACCGAAACUGACUUUGAUCACAUCCUUUCUCUCUUUUUCUUUAUUUUUUUUCUGAAUUUUUCCCAUUCUAAAUCACCUCCUAAGUUGUAUUUGAUUCCUUGAUUUCGGUUUGAUUGUGGAUUCGAAGUUAAACAGAGUAAGGAGGAGAAGAAGAAGAAGAAGA
RNAcentral lists this unclassified non-coding RNA (303 nucleotides) under Hevea brasiliensis (rubber tree). The record is from RNAcentral. Lineage: Eukaryota; Viridiplantae; Streptophyta; Magnoliopsida; Malpighiales; Euphorbiaceae.